Molecule: long non-coding RNA, 602 nt
Organism: Macadamia integrifolia
Lineage: Eukaryota; Viridiplantae; Streptophyta; Magnoliopsida; Proteales; Proteaceae
Exons: 4
Source: RefSeq, a predicted model, not a curated record
GAAGGGCUUACCAUUGCUCAGGUUGCAAUGGUAUAGGGCAUAACGUGACGAGGUGUAGUCGGGUUAAUGCAAAUACUGAGGAUGCAAAUACCCAAUUGCUCAAUCAACCAAUGCAAAUAGAUUUGAACAAUCCUCCCAAUAAUGAAUGGUACCACUCGAGUCAAUCUGCAUAGACCGUUUACUAAGCAGCAAAACUUGGGAGGGAGAGGAGGUCGUGGCAUGUACAUGAGGACUGCACCAGAUAGGAUAUUGGAGAAGGUGACGGAGAGCGUAAAGGGUGCAGAGGAGGCGUGUGCUGGUGAACCAACAAGCAGGGAGUGUGCAACGGUGUGGGAUGAGGUGGAAGAGGUGAGUGCAACAGCCAUCCUUGGUAGACGAAAAAAGAAGAAAACCUACCCACUGGAGGCCUACUGCAAGGACAACCCCGCUACUGAUGAAUGCCUUACCUAUGAGGAUUGAGGCCCUCUUGGCCUUAUCUCUUAUUCUUUCUGUUAUUAAUUCAUAAUCUACUUGAAAGUGCAAAAUUCAAUUAUUCAAAAAUUUUGUAUUUGAUUUUUGUCCAACUCCAAGGUACUUCGAUGGAUUUCCAUAUUACUUCACAG